RNAcentral lists this ribosomal RNA (429 nucleotides) under uncultured bacterium. RNAcentral describes it as "bacterial SSU rRNA". It matches the Rfam family "Bacterial small subunit ribosomal RNA", at positions 29 to 506 of the family's 1533-position model. The record is from RNAcentral.
ACGAACGCUGGCGGCAGGCUUAACACAUGCAAGUCGAACGCCCCGCAAGGGGAGUGGCAGACGGGUGAGUAACGCGUGGGAAUCUACCGUACCCUACGGAAUAACGCAUGGAAACGUGUGCUAAUACCGUAUACGCCCUUAGGGGGAAAGAUUUAUCGGGGUAUGAUGAGCCCGCGUUGGAUUAGCUAGUUGGUGGGGUAAAGGCCUACCAAGGCGACGAUCCAUAGCUGGUCUGAGAGGAUGAUCAGCCACAUUGGGACUGAGACACGGCCCAAACUCCUACGGGAGGCAGCAGUGGGGAAUAUUGGACAAUGGGCGCAAGCCUGAUCCAGCCAUGCCGCGUGAGUGAUGAAGGUCUUAGGAUUGUAAAGCUCUUUCACCGAUGAAGAUAAUGACGGUAGUCGGAGAAGAAGCCCCGGCUAACUUCGU